RNAcentral lists this ribosomal RNA (373 nucleotides) under uncultured prokaryote. RNAcentral describes it as "bacterial SSU rRNA". It matches the Rfam family "Bacterial small subunit ribosomal RNA", at positions 524 to 896 of the family's 1533-position model. The record is from RNAcentral.
UACGGAGGGAGCUAGCGUUGUUCGGAAUUACUGGGCGUAAAGAGUACGUAGGCGGUUAUUCAAGUCAGAGGUGAAAGCCCGGGGCUCAACCCCGGAACUGCCUUUGAAACUAGAUAACUAGAGUCUUGGAGAGGUUAGUGGAAUUCCGAGUGUAGAGGUGAAAUUCGUAGAUAUUCGGAAGAACACCAGUGGCGAAGGCGACUAACUGGACAAGUACUGACGCUGAGGUACGAAAGCGUGGGGAGCAAACAGGAUUAGAUACCCUGGUAGUCCACGCCGUAAACGAUGAUAACUAGUUGUUCGGUCACUUGGUGACUGAGUGACGCAGCUAACGCAUUAAGUUAUCCGCCUGGGGAGUACGGUCGCAAGAUUA